RNAcentral lists this long non-coding RNA (2100 nucleotides) under Homo sapiens (human). RNAcentral's name for it is "non-protein coding lnc-CCSER2-7:1". The record is from RNAcentral. Lineage: Eukaryota; Metazoa; Chordata; Mammalia; Primates; Hominidae.
AAAAUGAUCACUUCAGUAAAUGCAAAAAAUCAUUUGAUUAAAUUUACAGCCCCUUCAUAAUAGCUUUCAGGAAACCAGGAACAUAAAAGAAAUUCCUCAUUCUGAAUAAAGGACAUUUACAAAACAAAACAAAACAAAAAAACAUCUAGCUAACAUCAUUCUUAAUGGCCUGCAAAGCAGUGCAGAGUGCCCCUCUGCAAAAUGCCAGGGCAAUCACAGGGCUCACCUCAUGUGUUUCCGUCUAUCUCAGGAAGCAUAUUGCUGUGUUGCAAUGUGAUUCCUGCAAGCGAGAGGAUGCUGGAGGGUGGUGGAUUGUCAAGUGGCAGGGCACAGGCGCCAAGCUGGAAUAGUAAACACAGUGGUGGGGAGUGGAUCAGGUAAUACUGGAGCAUUUAGAACCAAGAUCAGCCCAGGGACUGAGUGUGGAGACAGCCAAUUCCCUGCCAGUCUAUUAUUUCUGAAGGAAGAGCUUGAAUAAGUUUAUUUCACCCAUUUUUUUUUUGCUUGCCUCAAAUUAAGGAUGGGUAAAGCAGUUCUAAGGACUGCAAAGCUGUGUUGUGGGAAGCAACUCCCAAUUGCAGCUUUUUUUUAUGAUUACUAACUAUGGAAUUUUCACCAAAUAGAAGAUAUAGGUAUUAUUGUCACUAAUAUAAGAAUGAAACAGAGAGACUCAAAGAAGUAAAAAGGAAUGUGCUCAAGAUGUCACCUCCAAUAAUGGCCAGACAUAGGAAUCCAGUCCAGACCUGGCCAGUUUUAGUGUUCUUUCCUUUGACUUAUCUUGAGCACUUUCCUGGGUGCCAGGAUCAGGUCACCAGCCCUACCCUGUUGCCCAUGUAUCUCAUGGUGCCCACGGUGCCCUGCCAGUGGGAUUUUCCCACCUCCUCUUAGUCAAAGCCACAACGCCCCCAUCUGCAAUGCAUUUUCUACACUCCCUCCUCGGCUACUGUUCUGCUUUUCACCUCAGAUGAGCAUCAAAAUAAGAUUGCACCUAAACACUCACCUUGGAAGAGUGAGAUGCAGAGGCUUGCCUGACUCACAACUCUUAACGGAAGUGGCUUAGAGCUUUUAUACGAGAAUUUUAGGAAUAUGUGGAAGAUAUGAACCAGGUUCCUGGAAAAAAGGCACAUACACACAUGCAUACACACAUGCACAAGCAAUUUGGCAGAUAAUUUUUGGAGGUUUUCAGGCACCUCUGAGGUCUAUCAAGGGACUUUGGUGAAGGAAUUCCUGCCCGGGGGAGAAUCCUAAAACUCUUUAGAGCACUAGUUAGUCUCAGAGUUUCCCUUAGCUUGAUGCACACUUUACCUUCGGCAGAAGGAGGAUAUGCCUCUUGGGGAGUCUAGGGGAGGAAGGAGAUAUCCAUAAAGGAACAGCCCAGCUUCUGAGUAAGCCUGACAGACUGAUGCCCUGCCUGGCUUAGGCAACUUCAGGGGAGCAGAUAUCCAGCCCAACUCUGUGGUUACAAAUGACCCUGUUAGCCCAGCCUACCUACAGCCACUGCAGGGGUGCACAAGCAGAUACUCACCGACUGCCCUGAAGCCACUGGAGAGAAGGCAGCAGAUGUGGAGGCUGAGGUACCUGAUAGGCUGGUGACAGGGAAGGUCAGCACAGGUGCAGCAGCUGAGGCACAGUGGGUAUGCUCUCUGGGAGGGAGAGCCAGCUGUACUGGCAGGAGUACUCACUAAGGACUCAGAUAGACAAGAAAGUGAAUCCCAGCACUGUCUCUCACCAGCUUUGGAACCAUGUCUUUUUGAGUUUCAGUUUUCCUAUCUAUAAAUCUAUUUAUAAUAUUUUUUUACCUUGCAUGGCUGAUCUGAGAAUAAGAGAGUGUUUGUAUGUGAGGGGUAUAGCACAGUCUCUCAAACAGCACACCUGAUCAAGAAACGGUCACUGAUACGGAUGAUAAUGGGUUUUCUUAUUAGGAAGCAGGAUGUUUUGGAGAAUGCUUGGGGCUUCUUUGCAUAUUUCAGGGAUUCUGGUUGCAAGUCAGGAUUUUAGAGCAAGGGACUGAUGACACAGGAGGGUUUGGUGAGCACACCAGGCAGCUUUGCAGACAGCAGGCCGCAUUGCAGGAGGUGCUCCUCCCUCCUCGGCAGCUGA